RNAcentral lists this ribosomal RNA (430 nucleotides) under Margarya oxytropoides. RNAcentral describes it as "partial 16S ribosomal RNA". It matches the Rfam family "Bacterial large subunit ribosomal RNA", at positions 1956 to 2608 of the family's 2925-position model. The record is from RNAcentral. Lineage: Eukaryota; Metazoa; Mollusca; Gastropoda; Architaenioglossa; Viviparidae.
AUAAUCAGUUGUCUUAUAAUUGAAGACUGGAAUGAAUGGUUAAACGAAAUUAGAGCUGUUUCAUUUGUAUUUAUUAGAAAUUGGCUUUUAAAUGAAGAGAUUUAAAUUUGAUUAAGGGACAAGAAGACCCUAUUGAGCUUAAAAUAAUUUUAAGGGUUAAAGUUAUUAUAAAGAUCUAUGAUCUUUAGUAUUUUUUUAGUUGGGGCGACUAAGGAACAGGCGAAGCUUCCUUUAUUUAUUUAAUUGAUAGAUUUUGAUCCUGUAUUACUGAUUAAGAGAAAUAGUUACCAUAGGGAUAACAGCAUAAUCUUCUUGGAGAGUUCUUAUUAAAAAGGGGGGUUGUGACCUCGAUGUUGGACUAAAAUAUCCUAAGGGUGUAGAAGCUUUUAAGGGUUGGUCUGUUCGACCAUUAAAAUUUUACGUGAUCUGA